GAAAUGCGAUAAGUAAUGUGAAUUGCAGAAUUCAGUGAAUCAUCGAAUCUUUGAACGCACCUUGCGCUCCUUGGUAUUCCGAGGAGCAUGCCUGUUUGAGUGUCAUGGAAUUCUCAACUUAUAAAUCCUUGUGAUCUAUAAGCUUGGACUUGGAGGCUUGCUGGCCCUUGCGGUCGGCUCCUCUUGAAUGUAUUAGCUUGAUUCCGUACGGAUCGGCUCUCAGUGUGAUAAUUGUCUACGCUGUGACCGUGAAGUGUUUUGGCAAGCUUCUAACCGUCCAUUAGGACAACUUUUUAACAUCUGACCUCAAAUCAGGUAGGACUACCCGCUGAACUUAAGC
This 340-nucleotide unclassified non-coding RNA is filed under the name plant metagenome. RNAcentral's name for it is "partial contains 5.8S ribosomal RNA, internal transcribed spacer 2, and large subunit ribosomal RNA". The stretch from base 1 to 105 matches the Rfam family "5.8S ribosomal RNA", at positions 50 to 154 of the family's 154-position model. The record is from RNAcentral.